GUAUAGAGGGUGAAUUCUGCCCAAUGGUUGUAUAGUGAAACUGAGGACUAACGUCUAAAGCGAAACCCAACUGAAUGGCCGCGGUAACUCUGACCGUGAUAAUGUAGCACAAUAAAUAGCCAAUUAAUUGUUGGCGGGUAUGAAUGGAACCACGAGGGUCUUACUGUCUCAAGAGGAAAGCCGAUGAAAUUAUAAUUGUAGUGAAGAUACUACAUAAACAUUGUAAGACGAAAAGACCCUAUCGAGCUUUACUGGAUACCGAUAGCGUUAAUUUAGAAUGAUCGAUACUAAGUAUCCUAAUUAUAAGUUAAUAAUUUUUGUUGGUAGGACAGUUUAGUUGGGGCGACUACCUUUGAAUAAGAAACGAAGGCGAGCUUAUGGUAUUAAUAAAAUCUCAUUAGCCUCACAGUGAGGGGGACACCCCUAGCUGGCACAAGGACCCCACGGGGUUCCUAUGUGGGCGAUAGUGACCCGAUAUUAUUAUCCAAAAUAAAUAUCGAAAGCGGAUAAAAGCUACCGUAGGGAUAACAGCGUAAUAUUGUCGGAGAGUUCUUAUCGAGGACAGUGUUUGCGACCUCGAUGUUGAAUUGCGGUGUCCUGGUGCUGUAGAAGGUACCUUAGGUUGGUC
RNAcentral lists this ribosomal RNA (628 nucleotides) under Balticina finmarchica. RNAcentral describes it as "partial 16S ribosomal RNA". It matches the Rfam family "Bacterial large subunit ribosomal RNA", at positions 1843 to 2577 of the family's 2925-position model. The record is from RNAcentral. Lineage: Eukaryota; Metazoa; Cnidaria; Anthozoa; Scleralcyonacea; Balticinidae.